AUGGCAGCAGAAAAUUGUUGUUUUUGUGAUCAAGAGGAGACAAGUAAUCAUUUAUUGUCAUAUUUGUUUACUACAUUAAUCUGGCGCAUGGUUCAUGUUACAUACAAUUUAGCACCGCCAAUGAGCAUUUCAAAUUUGUUUGAAAACUGGUUAGGUGGUAUUCAUCAUAAGUUGAAGGGCCAAACUUGUGUGGGAAUUUGUGCUAUUCUCUGGGCAAUAUGGAAUUGCCGGAAUGAUUGCGUCUUUAACAAACCAUCUUCUCUAAAUUUCUUGCAGGUUAUCUACAGAGCUACAGCUUCAACACGUAUGUGGCCAUCACUGCAGCGUGUGGAUGCACGGGCGCUUAGGUGCAGCCGACUAGAAACGGUUGCACAAAGUUUGUUUAACCAGUUUGGCUGGUGA
RNAcentral lists this ribosomal RNA (402 nucleotides) under Triticum aestivum (bread wheat). Its description in RNAcentral is "partial small subunit ribosomal RNA". Lineage: Eukaryota; Viridiplantae; Streptophyta; Magnoliopsida; Poales; Poaceae. The record is from RNAcentral.